GCGGGAAUAGCUCAGUUGGUAGAGCGGUGGCCUUCCAAGCCAUCUGUCGCGGGUUCGAAUCCCGUUUCCCGCU
RNAcentral lists this transfer RNA (73 nucleotides) under Acidobacteriota bacterium. Its description in RNAcentral is "Acidobacteria bacterium (anaerobic digester metagenome) tRNA-Gly". It matches the Rfam family "tRNA". From Rfam's summary of the family: Transfer RNA (tRNA) molecules are approximately 80 nucleotides in length. Their secondary structure includes four short double-helical elements and three loops (D, anti-codon, and T loops). Lineage: Bacteria; Pseudomonadati; Acidobacteriota. The record is from RNAcentral. RNAcentral also lists the same sequence under 1 other name.